CCCCAUAGUACUGAGACNNCGCAUGGUGAUUCAGUUAAAGCUUCGGCGGUAUAAGAUGGGCAUGCGUCCUAUUAGCUAGAUGGUAAGGUAACGGCUUACCAUGGCUACGAUAGGUAGGGGCCUGAGAGGGUGACCCCCCACACUGGUACUGAGACACGGACCAGACUCCUACGGGAGGCAGCAGUGAGGAAUAUUGGUCAAUGGGCGCAAGCCUGAACCAGCCAUGCCGCGUGCAGGAAGAAUGCCCUCUGGGUUGUAAACUGCUUUUAUUUGGGAAUAAACCUUUCUACGUGUAGGAAGCUGAAGGUACCAAAUGAAUAAGCACCGGCUAACUCCGUGCCAGCAGCCGCGGUAAUACGGAGGGUGCAAGCGUUAUCCGGAAUCCUUGGGUUUAAAGGGUCC
Molecule: ribosomal RNA, 402 nt
Filed under: uncultured Flavobacteriia bacterium
Lineage: Bacteria; Pseudomonadati; Bacteroidota; Flavobacteriia
Description: bacterial SSU rRNA
Rfam family: Bacterial small subunit ribosomal RNA
Source: RNAcentral